AGUAAAAUAACAAAAACGCCUUUAAGUGGGCUGGUUUGAAUGGGAGAAAAGAAAAACUCUUCUAUUCCCAUUUUCUUUUUCUUCUGCCAUUUCCCCUUCCUCUCAAUACCCUACUUCUCCUAUCUUUUAUUCAGCAAUAAGAUCGAAGAAGGAUUUUUCCUUCAAAUUGAAGGGAUUUAGAAGGAGAUCUUUGGAGAAGGAAACUCAUUUUCAAGUUGAAACUCUAGCUAGAGAACAAAGUAUGGCUUUUGAGAUGAGAUCGGCAGACGAGUCGACAACUAUAGUUAGAUAGUAGCAUGUUAGAUCGUCUCCAUUUUUGUAUUAUGUAGAUCUUAUCUUUAUAUUUUGAAUUAUCAUUUUGAAUAUGUAAUAGGCCAUAUUGGAACUAUGAAUUGUACAAACUUGCUACUUGUUAAGUUGAAAGUAUGACCAUUUCGAAAUUUUAUUUAUGCUUAAA
This is a long non-coding RNA of Ananas comosus (pineapple), 457 nucleotides long. RefSeq lists it as uncharacterized. NCBI's taxonomy places the organism in Eukaryota, Viridiplantae, Streptophyta, Magnoliopsida, Poales, Bromeliaceae. The transcript is spliced from 2 exons. The record is from RefSeq and is a predicted model, not a curated record.